CCUACGGGUGGCAGCAGUGAGGAAUAUUGGUCACUGGGCGCGAGCCUGCACCAGCCAAGUCGCGUGAAGGCUGCCUGCCCUCCGGGUUGUAAACUUCUUUUAUAAAGGAGUAAAGUGAGGCACGUGUGCCUUUUUGUAUGUCUUUUAUGAAUAAGGAUAGGCUAACUCCGUGCCAGCAGCCGCGGUAAUACGGAGGAUCCGAGCGUUAUCCGGAUUUAUUGGGUUUAAAGGGAGCGUAGAUGGGUUGUUAAGUCAGUUGUGAACGUGUGCGGCUCAACCGUAAAAUUGCAAUUGAUACUGGCAGCCUUGAUUACAGUUGAGGUAGGCGGAAUUCGUGGUGUAGCGGUGAAAUGCUGAGAUAGCACGAAGAACUCCGAUUGCGAAGGCAGCCUACUAACCUGCCACUGACAUUGAUGCUCGAAAGUGUGGGUAUCAAACAGGAUUAGAUACCCCUGUAGGC
RNAcentral lists this ribosomal RNA (460 nucleotides) under uncultured bacterium. RNAcentral describes it as "partial 16S ribosomal RNA". It matches the Rfam family "Bacterial small subunit ribosomal RNA", at positions 338 to 795 of the family's 1533-position model. The record is from RNAcentral.